This 227-nucleotide ribosomal RNA is filed under the name uncultured bacterium. Its description in RNAcentral is "partial 16S ribosomal RNA". It matches the Rfam family "Bacterial small subunit ribosomal RNA", at positions 103 to 334 of the family's 1533-position model. The record is from RNAcentral.
CGGGUGAGUAAUACAUCGGAACGUGUCUUCUAGUGGGGGAUAACUGCCCGAAAGGGCAGCUAAUACCGCAUGAGACCUGAGGGUGAAAGCGGGGGAUCGCAAGACCUCGCGCUGGAAGAGCGGCCGAUGUCCGAUUAGCUAGUUGGUGAGGUAAAGGCUCACCAAGGCGACGAUCGGUAGCUGGUCUGAGAGGACGACCAGCACACUGGGACUGAGACACGGCCCAG